CUGGAUGAGAAUUCUAAAUGCAUUUUCCUACAUUGCCAAUUUCAGGGUUUCAUUGGAUGGAAGAAUGGCUAUUAAAGUGGAAUCAGUGAGAAUGCACACAAUGUCUCCAGGAUGCUAGCAGGAACUGAUUACAUGGGAAUAUGAUGGUACGACUGGAAUCAGCAUCUUAAAAGUAGGAGUCUUUGGAACUUCAAUAUCCAGGAGCCACAACCAGUUUGUCCAACUAUCAGGAAUUUUGUGAGCUGAAAUCUAAAACACCUGGAGGAACAAUGAUUGGAAACUGCUGGACUAAAGUUUACAAAGUAACAAUAAAUAUACCACAUGGGCUCUCUAACAAUUUUGAUGCUGAUGCUACUAAGAAGUAAUCCACCUUUAAAGGAAAAAGAAGAUAAACACUCAGCUUACACUGGAGGUUCUUCAUAUACUAGAAAGACAUAAAAAAGAAAACAAUGCAUCCUUAGUAUUUUCAGGUAGGAUCCUCUGUUCAUGUCUAUUAGCUCGAUGGGGUAGAAGUCUUAGAUCCAUCUGGAUUUCCCACCAGUUGAAUCUGGUUUCUUAGUAUGUUACUAUAGCAUUUUUAAAACAUCUCUUCAAAUAUUCCUGCUGUGGAUUGCAACUGAUCAAGCCAGUUUGUUGUUCUCAGUUGGGAGUGUUUUGUAAGUAGGAGAAAUAAAGCCCUUGCAAUCUUCAAGAGUCAAUAGGCAAGUGUGAAAGGUUUUGAAUGCUAACUGUAUUUUCCCCUUUGCGAUAGAAAGAAUAGCUCAUCUUUAUUUCAUGUGGUAACUCCUCAGCACUUCUAUAAAUUAUUUAAUCUCUUUGUUCAGAGUUUGCAGAAGCAUCAUAAAAAUAAUGUGUCAUGAAUGCUCCUAGAUGGUAUGAGGAGGUGUGGGAACGUAGUGUUGCCUCAUCUAAGCAGAUAAAAACUCGUACUGAGCAAUUUUGAAAGUAUUUCCUGACUGCACACGAAUUCCUCUAUACUGAAGGGUAUAAAAAUGCCUCAUUGUCAGAGUCCUGUCUACCAAAUUACUGUUAAACAGCUGCACACAGUAUCAUAGUCUAAAGUAGUCUGAGGUCAUCCAUAGCAGUCAGUCAAAAUAAGAGUGAGCCACAAGAGUUGUCCAUAGUCCUUUCCAAGAUGUUCAAAGCCAAGUCAUCACAUCAAAACUGAGGCUGUUAUUAUAGAAAUUUGAAAACUGAAGGAAGUUUUCAUGGAUGUGAAGAAUUCUUCUUUUGGACUCAAUGUCUUCUACUUUCCACUCUAUAGUUAUGGCCUUGGUUCACAAAACACUAACAUUCAGAAAGAACAUCUUUAGAGAGGGCAUUGAUGAAGCAAAAGAUCAGGGAAGCAAAAGGAAGCCUUCAUGUGCUGAAGUAAAUAUUCCUGACGGACAGUUUCAAGGGGCCAGUGCUUUGUUGCCUCAACAAAAAAGCCAUGCCUGGCCUCCAUAUUAAUGCUGUGACCAAGGACAUUAUUGAACGAUGCUCUUAAGACAGGUUCUGACAUUGCAAACCCACCUUGCUUGUAUGGAUAGCUAUGAUUUUUGUUGAACCAAUCCAUUUUACAAGUAGUUUGAGAAAGCCCAGAGUGCUUUUAACUUAUUGCAACUGCUGGGAUGUAACUCCUGUGCAUUGCCCCUUUUUGUCUAUGCUCUCCUUUAAUUUUUUUUAUGUGGAAUCAUUGUGUAACUAGGUGAGUUCAGAAUCUCAUAGUUGUUUCUGCAUUUCCAAGUUCACAAGCUUUGUCCUUAAAAAUACUUCAAAUUAAUUACAAGCUUUUCCCUAUUUUGUGUAUUCUGCAAGGGAGAGGUGCACUUUUGAUUGGCAAAUCCUUCCUAGGCUGAAAGAGGAUUCAUCUGCUGGAUCUUUUACCAGAUAGAUUUGCAAACAGAAAAUUUCAAUUAAUUUUCAAAAGACGCAUUUUGCAAUUACAAACCUUUUCCUGUUUUGUGUAUUUUGCAGGGGGGCAUAGUUCUGAUUGGGAAUCCUUGUUUAGCAUUGCACUAGCAUGUACGAGCUGGAGGUUUUGAAGGCAAAAACAUCUGGGGACCCACAGGUUGAGAACCACUGCUCCAGGACAAUGUUCCCAACCAUUGAUUCUCCAUGUGUUUUGGACUUUAGCUCCCAGAAUUCCUAGCUGAGGCUUCUGGGAGUUGAAGUCCAAAACACCUGGAGAACCAAAGAUUUGGAACCACUGCUCUAGGGGGCUUUCCCUUAUUCAAACAUCCAUCACAGUGGUUCCCAGCCUUUGGACUCCAAGUGUUUUGGACUUCAACUCCCAGAAAUCUCAGCCAAAUUACCAGCUGUUAGGAACUGUGGGAGCUGAAAUCCAAAACACCUGGGGGCCCAAGGUUGGCAACCACUGCUCCAGCAGGCAUGAACCAUCAAUAGAUCAGAUAUGAACUAUGUGGCAGGGAUUCCUUUGCUGGUCCUCAAGUAACCUAUGUGUGUCUUUGUUGAUGGAAGGUCCUAGUAGCUGUAGUCCAGAAAGUGAGUUUUUCAAGCACUGUAAAUAAAAAAGAAGUAAAGAAAACCCACUUUACCAAUCCAAAGCUAAUGCUGUAAAUGCAUUACAAUCAAAACUGAAAUUCUUGCAGUUAUAGUACAGUGAACUAGACAGUGAUUUGCCAUUAUAGCCUGAAUGAAAUUAACAUUGGUUUUCUGUAGGCUGGAUAAGUGUUUACACCAAAUAGUUUCUGAAGCCAGAAAAUAAUGAUGGUUAUGUGUUUGUUCAGUUUCUGAAGAGUUGCAUAUCUGCUAGCUUAGUUAUGUUAGAGAGUGAAAUCAGAAGGGAAUAAUAAAGGAAAGGACUUAAGAAAGAAAACAGUUCUGAGGAAAGACUUAGAAGAUGAAAGAAAUGUCCAAUAUUUGUUUAUUUUUGAUUGGAAGAAAAUUUAUUUUUAGUUGGAAGCUCAACUGCACAUUUCCCUCCAAUUCUUUACAUCUUGUUUUUCUAUUAUACACUGACUUGAGA
Molecule: long non-coding RNA, 2971 nt
Organism: Anolis carolinensis (green anole)
Lineage: Eukaryota; Metazoa; Chordata; Lepidosauria; Squamata; Anolidae
Exons: 3
Source: RefSeq, a predicted model, not a curated record